This is a long non-coding RNA of Balaenoptera musculus (blue whale), 2503 nucleotides long. RefSeq lists it as uncharacterized. NCBI's taxonomy places the organism in Eukaryota, Metazoa, Chordata, Mammalia, Artiodactyla, Balaenopteridae. The transcript is spliced from 3 exons. The record is from RefSeq and is a predicted model, not a curated record.
UCCGCCCUGGUGAGGGAGCUUUUUGGCAGGACUUUCUCCCGGCCUCGUCGUGCAGAGAUUGCAGAGGGGGAGGGGAGCACGGGAUGGGCGUGGGGGGAGAGCAGGCCUGCAGGUGCUGUGCCAGGCGAGAGACCUGGUAAUUAUGGGGUUUCUGAGUGCUGAGCAAGCAGGGCGCUGGGCCCUUCCUUGUGUGAUGGGAACCCACCGACAUCCCCUCACUGAAUCCUCUCCUGCGCCCAAGGAGGCGGGGACCACGGCCCGGUUCCACAUCAGGAACCGAAGCUCGCAGGGCGGCCUGCCUUUGCCGGAGGCCACACGGACCAGGAAACUAAUACAGAGGGAAACCAGCACAAGGAGGACUCAGAUCAGCUGGAGAAGAUGCUGGGGACCGGUUUAGUCCACUCCGGCUGCCAUACCAGAACACCACACGGGGGCUGAAACAACAGACAGGCACUGCCUCUCAGUCUGGAGUCUGGGAGUCCGAGAUCAAGGUGUCAGCACAGCUGGUCUCCUCGGAGGCCUCUCUCCUUGCUGUGUAGACGGGCACCCUCUUCACGUGGCCAUCCCUCUGGGCACACGCACUCCUGGCUUCUCCCUGUGUCCUAAUCUUUUCUUAUAGGGACACCAGCCAGAUUAUGGGCCUCAUUUUAACGAAUCACCUCUGUAAAGACCCUGUUUCCAAAUAGUCAUAUUCUGAGGUGCUGGGGGAGGGGUUAGGGCUUCAACACGGGAAUUCGGGGGCACGUAACAGGGAGCCUCCAAGCCUGCCUCAUUCCCACAAGGCCCUCACUUUUCUGGCGUUCCAGACCUCCCUAGGGCCCAGCGUGAGCCCAGGCAGCCUCAGCCUGUAGAACCAGUUGGAGCUGCCAGGAGAACCGGUCGGGGCAGUCCCGGGGGUGUGGGUUUGCAGAAGGGACCGGAGUUCCCUGAGGACUGGUGGUCAGGACAGGACCCAGGCACCAGGCACGGAGGAACUCAGUCUCUCCCAGGCCAGACCCCAGAGCCACUCUCCCAGUCCUAACAAGGGCCGCUGAAGGCACCAGGGAACAAGCAGCAGUGGCUGGUGGCAGGCAGCGGGGUCGGGAGUUAGACGUGCUCUGGUGACUUGGCUCUUUGCAGGGACAUUGACACGGAAGGGGCAGAAGAGGCAGCAAAGCAUGCAACACGCAGCCCCCAAUGCAGCCCAGGACUAAGAGAGGAGAGAUCUCCUGAUUCCUCCCUCUCUCGACACCACCCAGGCCCCUGACCACUCAGGGCCCCAGAGCCUCAGGCAGCAGGAGUGACAGACUGCCUUCCAGACUCCCUCCUCGCUGACCUGUAGCCUCCAGCCUCCACUGGGCUCCCCUCCCCCCUCCUCCAGGCCGGGAUGGACUCGCUCACACCCACAAACUGCAAAGGCGCAGGGCGGGUUUCAGACAGAAGACAGCCCAUGCCAGGUACACGAAUGGAGAAGAUUCAAUACAUAUAGUUACAUAAGGUAUAAAAUUGCUACACUGGUGACUCAAAAGGUAAAAAGAGGCUGAGGCAGCAAAGGGAACAGCUGGGAUUGUUAAAACGCGGAAACGUGGGCCUUGGACCCCAACCUCGGAGGGAGGGGGUCUGGCGGGUGCUGGCGUGUCUGAGGUGCCAUGAAGUUGUUUUUACAAGCGUUGGAAAAGCCACAAAGGGAUUCAGCUCCCCACCCCGACCCUCUGCCUCUGGGACACUGAGUGUUUCUACAGCUUCUUCAUAAAAACACAACUCACAUCCACACGGAGAGAAUCACAUCCUUCCCGAACUCUUUCCUCCUGCAUCACCACCGGCCUGUCUCAGCCAAGGGUGAAAAGUCUUGGAAUCUAAUAGGGUGGCCGUUGAACCCAACCCUGACCCUUUUUCUCUCUUGCUACUUCAGCUUGUGUGAUGGUUGAUUUUAGGUGUCAACCUCAUGGGACUGACUGAUGCCCAGGUAGCUGGUAAAAUAUGAUUUCUGCCUGUGGCUACGAGGGCGCUUCUAGAAGAGAUUCACAUUUGAAUCAGUGGGUGAGGAAAGCUGAUCCCCCUCCCCAAGGUGAUGGACCACGUUCAAUUCUUUGAGGACCCACGUGGAACCAAAGGUGGAGGAAGGGGAAUUCACUCUCUCUGUUGAGCGGGGACGUCCAGCUUCUCCUGCCCUCAGACGUUGGUGCUUGUGGUUCUCAGGCCUUCGGACUUGGACUGAAUCACACCCCAGCUCUCCUGGGCCUCUCAGAUGGUGGGACUUCUGACUUCUCAGCCUCCAUAAUCACGGAGAAAACCAAACCAUAAAAGCAUCAGUCAUCCCCUGAUGAAGAAAUGAUGGUCCAGCUCAUGAAGACCAGGCAAUCGGGGCUGAAUAAUCAUCAGAGCUUCCAAACCACCAGGGGUCUGAGGUCUCUACAGACCUAUGCUUCCAGGAGCUUUGAAUUUAUCAGAACUGGCAAGAAGCAUCGAGUCGAGCACCACACGUUGUCUUGUGCAGACUCUACUUGAACACUUCUGGUGAUGG